Molecule: ribosomal RNA, 599 nt
Filed under: Candidatus Moeniiplasma glomeromycotorum
Lineage: Bacteria; Bacillati; Mycoplasmatota; Mollicutes; Mycoplasmatales; Mycoplasmataceae
Description: bacterial SSU rRNA
Rfam family: Bacterial small subunit ribosomal RNA
Source: RNAcentral
UAAGUUACUGAUUGAUGCCAAACUCAAUUUGACGGAAGUUGGUAAUACUGUUCUGCUAGAGGGCAGAAGAGGUUGAUGGAAUUCUGUGAGGAGCGGUGAAAUGCGUUGAUCUGCAGAGGAACACCAAAAAAGGCGAAGGCAUUCAACUAUUCUGUUCCUGACAUUGAGGCAUGAAAGCGUGGGGAGCAAACCGGAUUAGAUACCCGGGUAGUCCACGCCCUAAACGAUGAGCAUUAGAUAUUAGACGUUAAGUUUAGUGUCGCCGCUAACGCUGUAAAUGCUCCGCCUGGGUACUACGGCCGCAAGGCUAAAACUCAAAGGAAUUGACGGGGACCCGCACAAGCGGUGGAGCAUGUGGUUCAAUUCGAUACGACGCGCAGAACCUUACCAAGGCUUGACAUGGAGGGCAAAGUUGAAGAAAUUCAACAGAGGUUAUCCCGACACAGGUGGUGCAUGGUCGUCGUCAGUUCGUGCUGUGAAGCGUAUGCUUAAGUGCUAUAACGAACGCAACCCUCAUAUUUAGUUGCUACCAUUCAGUUGAGAACUCUAAAUAGACUGCUAAGAAAACUUAGAGGAAGGUGAGGAUGACGUCUGAUCAU